CACGCCCUAAACGAUGCAUACUGGGAAUUCGGAGUAUCGACCCUCUGAGUUCCGAAGCUAACGCGUUAAGUAUGCCGCCUGGGUAGUACGGCCGCAAGGCUAAAACUCAAAGGAAUUGACGGGGACCCGCACAAGCGGUGGAACAUGUGGUUUAAUUCGAUGACAAGCGAAGAACCUUACCAGGGCUUGACAUCCUGCGAAUCCCGAUGAAAGUUGGGAGUGCCGUAAGGAGCGCAGUGACAGGUGU
This 247-nucleotide ribosomal RNA is filed under the name uncultured bacterium. RNAcentral's name for it is "partial 16S ribosomal RNA". It matches the Rfam family "Bacterial small subunit ribosomal RNA", at positions 796 to 1041 of the family's 1533-position model. The record is from RNAcentral.